Thalassophryne amazonica is the source of this 101-nucleotide long non-coding RNA. RefSeq lists it as uncharacterized. NCBI's taxonomy places the organism in Eukaryota, Metazoa, Chordata, Actinopteri, Batrachoidiformes, Batrachoididae. The record is from RefSeq and is a predicted model, not a curated record. The transcript is spliced from 4 exons.
AACAAGUCGGUCUAAGCAUUAAGAUUGAAACAGAUAUGCAAAAAUACAAUUUGAAUCUCAUUUCAAACUACCUAUGAAUGAGGCCUGAAAUAGAUUUGGAA